Molecule: ribosomal RNA, 301 nt
Filed under: uncultured Conexibacteraceae bacterium
Lineage: Bacteria; Bacillati; Actinomycetota; Thermoleophilia; Solirubrobacterales; Conexibacteraceae
Description: bacterial SSU rRNA
Rfam family: Bacterial small subunit ribosomal RNA
Source: RNAcentral
CAGCAGCCGCGGUAAUACGUAGGGGGCAAGCGUUGUCCGGAAUCAUUGGGCGUAAAGAGCGUGUAGGCGGCUCGGUAAGUCCGCUGUGAAAGUCCAGGGCUCAACCCUGGAAUGCCGGUGGAAACUGUCGAGCUAGAGUCCGGAAGAGGCGAGUGGAAUUCCUGGUGUAGCGGUGAAAUGCGCAGAUAUCAGGAGGAACACCAAUGGCGAAGGCAGCUCGCUGGGACGGUACUGACGCUGAGACGCGAAAGCGUGGGGAGCAAACAGGAUUAGAUACCCUGGUAGUCCACGCCGUAAACGA